UACGGAAGGUCCGGGCGUUAUCCGGAUUUAUUGGGUUUAAAGGGAGCGCGGGCCGGAGAGUAAGCGUGACGUGAAAUGCCGCGGCUCAACCGUGGAAGUGCGUCGCGAACUGCCUUUCUUGAGUGUAUUCGACGUAGGCGGAAUUCGUGGUGUAGCGGUGAAAUGCUUAGAUAUCACGAAGAACCCCGAUUGCGAAGGCAGCCUACGAGGCUACGUCUGACGCUAAAGCUCGAAGGUGCGGGUAUCGAAC
This 250-nucleotide ribosomal RNA is filed under the name uncultured prokaryote. RNAcentral's name for it is "partial 16S ribosomal RNA". It matches the Rfam family "Bacterial small subunit ribosomal RNA", at positions 524 to 773 of the family's 1533-position model. The record is from RNAcentral.